Molecule: transfer RNA, 77 nt
Filed under: Alphaproteobacteria bacterium
Lineage: Bacteria; Pseudomonadati; Pseudomonadota; Alphaproteobacteria
Also listed under: 1 other name
Description: tRNA-Arg
Rfam family: tRNA
About the family: Transfer RNA (tRNA) molecules are approximately 80 nucleotides in length. Their secondary structure includes four short double-helical elements and three loops (D, anti-codon, and T loops).
Source: RNAcentral
CCGCCCUUAGCUCAACUGGAUAGAGCACUCGCCUUCUAAGCGAUAGGUUGCAGGUUCGAGUCCUGCAGGGCGGGCCA